CCUACGGGAGGCAGCAGUGAGGAAUAUUGGUCAAUGGACGAGAGUCUGAACCAGCCAAGUAGCGUGAAGGAUGACUGCCCUAUGGGUUGUAAACUUCUUUUAUAUGGGAAUAAAAUGUUCCACGUGUGCGUUUUUGUAUGUACCAUAUGAAUAAGGAUCGGCUAACUCCGUGCCAGCAGCCGCGGUAAUACGGAGGAUCCGAGCGUUAUCCGGAUUUAUUGGGUUUAAAGGGAGCGUAGGUGGAUUGUUAAGUCAGUUGUGAAAGUUUGCGGCUCAACCGUAAAAUUGCAGUUGAAACUGGCAGUCUUGAGUACAGUAGAGGUGGGCGGAAUUCGUGGUGUAGCGGUGAAAUGCUUAGAUAUCACGAAGAACUCCGAUUGCGAAGGCAGCUCACUAAACUGUGACUGACAUUGAUGCUCGAAAGUGUGGGUAUCAAACAGGAUUAGAUACCCUUGUAGUC
RNAcentral lists this ribosomal RNA (460 nucleotides) under uncultured bacterium. RNAcentral's name for it is "partial 16S ribosomal RNA". It matches the Rfam family "Bacterial small subunit ribosomal RNA", at positions 338 to 795 of the family's 1533-position model. The record is from RNAcentral.